This 337-nucleotide long non-coding RNA is filed under the name Capra hircus (goat). RNAcentral's name for it is "lncRNA (ENSCHIG00000003546.1)". Lineage: Eukaryota; Metazoa; Chordata; Mammalia; Artiodactyla; Bovidae. The record is from RNAcentral.
CGCCCACAGUAACCAGCCCACUACCGUGGAUUCCUGGCCGUGUGUGGAGACGGCUCUGCAGUGCCGGACAUCUCCCCUCCCCAGAUGCCAAGGACACUGUUCUUUAUCCUGGGAGAAGGAAAUGGCAAUCCAAUCCAGCACUAUUGCCUGGAAAAUCCCAUAGACAGAGGAGCCUGGUAGGCUACAGUCUAUGGGGUCACAAAGAGUCAGACAUGACUGAGCGACUUCAUUUUCAUAACAUAUAGGGUAAGUACCAUUCUCACCCCAAAUAAACUUUGCCAUCACUGAACUAAGCUUUUUAAGAGUCUUAACUCAUUUAAUGGGUACAGUGACCUCC